This 253-nucleotide ribosomal RNA is filed under the name uncultured bacterium. Its description in RNAcentral is "partial 16S ribosomal RNA". It matches the Rfam family "Bacterial small subunit ribosomal RNA", at positions 524 to 776 of the family's 1533-position model. The record is from RNAcentral.
UACGUAGGUGGCAAGCGUUGUCCGGAUUUACUGGGCGUAAAGGGAGCGUAGGCGGUUUUUUAAGUGGGAUGUGAAAUCCCCGGGCUUAACCCGGGAACCGCAUUUCAAACUGGAAGACUAGAGUGCAGGAGAGGAAAGUGGAAUUCCAAGUGUAGCGGUGAAAUGCGUAGAGAUUUGGAGGAACGCCAGUGGCGAAGGCGACUUUCUGGACUGUAACUGACGCGGAGGCUCGAGAGCGUGGGGAGCAAACAGG